UAGGGAAUCUUCGGCAAUGGACGAAAGUCUGACCGAGCAACGCCGCGUGAGUGAAGAAGGUCUUCGGAUCGUAAAACUCUGUUGUUAGAGAAGAACAAGGACGUUAGUAACUGAACGUCCCCUGACGGUAUCUAACCAGAAAGCCACGGCUAACUACGGGCCAGCAGCCGCGGUAAUACGUAGGUGGCAAGCGUUGUCCGGAUUUAUUGGGCGUAAAGCGAGCGCAGGCGGUUUCUUAAGUCUGAUGUGAAAGCCCCCGGCUCAACCGGGGAGGGUCAUUGGAAACUGGGAGACUUGAGUGCAGAAGAGGAGAGUGGAAUUCCAUGUGUAGCGGUGAAAUGCGUAGAUAUAUGGAGGAACACCAGUGGCGAAGGCGGCUCUCUGGUCUGUAACUGACGCUGAGGCUCGAAAGCGUGGGGAGCAAACAGG
RNAcentral lists this ribosomal RNA (429 nucleotides) under Gemmatimonadota bacterium. RNAcentral's name for it is "Gemmatimonadetes bacterium partial 16S ribosomal RNA". It matches the Rfam family "Bacterial small subunit ribosomal RNA", at positions 355 to 776 of the family's 1533-position model. The record is from RNAcentral. Lineage: Bacteria; Pseudomonadati; Gemmatimonadota.